RNAcentral lists this ribosomal RNA (253 nucleotides) under uncultured bacterium. RNAcentral's name for it is "partial 16S ribosomal RNA". It matches the Rfam family "Bacterial small subunit ribosomal RNA", at positions 524 to 776 of the family's 1533-position model. The record is from RNAcentral.
UACGUAGGGGGCAAGCGUUGUCCGGAUUUAUUGGGCGUAAAGAGCGUGUAGGCGGCUUUACAGGUCCGUUGUGAAAACUCGAGGCUCAACCUCGAGACGCCGGUUGAAACCAUCUGGCUAGAGUCCGGAAGAGGAGAGUGGAAUUCCUGGUGUAGCGGUGAAAUGCGCAGAUAUCAGGAAGAACACCCGUGGCUAAGGCGGCUCUCUAGUACGGUACUGACGCUGAGACGCGAAAGCGUGGGGAGCGAACAGG